This 1615-nucleotide long non-coding RNA is filed under the name Pan troglodytes (chimpanzee). RNAcentral describes it as "long non-coding RNA NONPTRT003408". Lineage: Eukaryota; Metazoa; Chordata; Mammalia; Primates; Hominidae. The record is from RNAcentral.
UGGUUUUCCAAAUAACGGCAUGGUUUAGCAGAUCUUCCCUGGCUGCACUGUUUAUUGAAUUUUAGUUUAAAAUAAAACUUAGUGUAACUAUAUUCGCAGCAACUGAAAAUGGUCUGAAAAUUUAAUUUUUUCAUACUUGAGGGGAUAGAAUCAAUACCAUAGUAUAAUUAGGAAGGUUUCAAUUGACCUCUGGGUGACCUCUGGGUGAACCAAUCACACAGACACCAAAUACACUCCAGAAAGACUCAGAUAUGAGAACUAUAAGAUUCCGGGUCUUCCAUCAAAGACUGCUUUGCAACAGAAAAAUGAAAAUAGUUGAAAUACAUGGGCAAUAUGCUGCCUCAAAUCAUUCCUGUAAGUAGGCAGUGUCAAUAUAAAUCAAUAUUAAGAUGGGAUAAAUCUAAAAGUUUAAACAUCUGCCUCAAAAAACCAAAUAUCUCCCCCACCCCCCAAAAUCAUAAAAAACCAAAACCCUAAUUAAAAAAAUUUUUUUGAACUAGAGAUAGGAUCUUGCUAUGUUGUCUAGGCUAGUCUCAAACUCCUGGCCUCAAGUGAUACUCCCACCUUGGCUUCCCAAAGUGCUGGGAUUACAGGUGUGGGCCACCACGCCAGCCAAAACCCUCAUUUAAACAGGUUUUAAAUACUUUACUUUUAGAAAAGAUAUAUAAUCUCUCUACCCACAUAACAGAAAAGACAUGAUUAUUCCAAAUUUAGGUGCUGAAUCCAUCAUAUUUAUAGCAAUCCCAUUUUGUGAGCAUCUUGGCUGCUGAAUCCCGUGUAUUCAUAAAGACAGUAGGAGUUAUAGUCACAAUUUUUUUUUUAUUUUUAGUUUUUUAUGGCACUUCCAGUUUUUGGAACAUAUUACUUUAACUUGUUCAGCUAUUUCAAAAUGGCAGGGGAACUUUACCUUGGCAAAAACGCAACAGUGGCCAAAGUGGAAAGUUUUUCUAGAAUCUCAUUUAAUAGAAAGGCAAUGAGCAGUGGUUCUACCACUAACAGCUCCACUUCUUAUGAACAAGGAAUAGGCACAAUUAGAGAAAGAGCUGAAAGAGAAGAGGCAGAGAAUGAAAGAGGAAUUAAAAGAGAAAAAUCAGGGGAAAGUAUAAGAAAGAUGGUAACGUAAACAUAAAAUUUAACAAGGAUAAAAACAUAAAAGAGAGAAGGGGAGGGAAGAAAGUGAUGUCCAAGAAAAAGGAAGAAAAAUGGUCAAAGAUCUCUCUUACGAUAUAGUAAUAAAUUUAUCAAACAACUUGAAUUACCCUGUCAUUAAAAUCAACUCCACACUCAAAUUAUGCAUUUUUUCCUCUAAAGAAUUAGUAACUCAUUGAUCAUCAUCUCUGUUUAGAAAUAAGGAAACCGCUUUGAAAAGUCAACAUGCCUAGAGUUAAAGAAGAAGUAGCGUCUCUGUCCAUCAUUGCCUCAGAAUUAGUCGAGAUGACCAAGAAUAUUCAUAUAGAACUUGCCACAUGUUCUUUUAAAUAGCCAACACUGUUAGAGCAUUAGAAAGUAUUGGAUUUGUAAGACAUUUAACUUCCUCUGAAAUGGUCUGUAUAUAACUCAAGAUACAAAGACAUUAUCUCUCUUUCUGAAUCUAUAAACACUUUUCAUUCAAAUG